Molecule: ribosomal RNA, 492 nt
Filed under: uncultured bacterium
Lineage: Bacteria
Description: partial 16S ribosomal RNA
Rfam family: Bacterial small subunit ribosomal RNA
Source: RNAcentral
GAUGAACGCUAGCUACAGGCUUAACACAUGCAAGUCGAGGGGAAACGACAUCGAAAGCUUGCUUUUGAUGGGCGUCGACCGGCGCACGGGUGAGUAACGCGUAUCCAACCUGCCCACCACUUGGGGAUAACCUUGCGAAAGUAAGACUAAUACCCAAUGAUAUCUCUAGAAGACAUCUGAAAGAGAUUAAAGAUUUAUCGGUGAUGGAUGGGGAUGCGUCUGAUUAGCUUGUUGGCGGGGUAACGGCCCACCAAGGCAACGAUCAGUAGGGGUUCUGAGAGGAAGGUCCCCCACAUUGGAACUGAGACACGGUCCAAACUCCUACGGGAGGCAGCAGUGAGGAAUAUUGGUCAAUGGACGAGAGUCUGAACCAGCCAAGUAGCGUGCAGGAAGACGGCCCUAUGGGUUGUAAACUGCUUUUAUAAGGGAAUAAAGUGAGUCUCGUGAGACUUUUUGCAUGUACCUUAUGAAUAAGGACCGGCCAAUUCCGUG